RNAcentral lists this ribosomal RNA (331 nucleotides) under uncultured eukaryote. Its description in RNAcentral is "partial 18S ribosomal RNA". It matches the Rfam family "Eukaryotic small subunit ribosomal RNA", at positions 1470 to 1796 of the family's 1831-position model. The record is from RNAcentral.
CCCUUAGAUGUUCUGGGCCGCACGCGCGCUACACUGUUCGACGCAGCGAGUCUUAACCUUGACCGAAAGGUUUGGGUAAUCUUCAGCAAAGUCGAACGUGAUGGGGAUCGAUCAUUGCAAUUAUUGAUCGUGAACGAGGAAUUCCUAGUAGGUGCAAGUCAUCAGCUUGCGCUGAUUACGUCCCUGCCCUUUGUACACACCGCCCGUCGCUACUACCGAUUGAAUGGUUUAGUGAGAUCUCUGGAUUGACGCUGGCUAGGGGGCGACCCUUGGCCAGACUGUUGAGAAACUGCUCAAACUUGAUCAUUUAGAGGAAGUAAAAGUCGUAACA